This 191-nucleotide ribosomal RNA is filed under the name uncultured Gammaproteobacteria bacterium. Its description in RNAcentral is "partial 16S ribosomal RNA". It matches the Rfam family "Bacterial small subunit ribosomal RNA", at positions 340 to 524 of the family's 1533-position model. The record is from RNAcentral. Lineage: Bacteria; Pseudomonadati; Pseudomonadota; Gammaproteobacteria.
UACGGGAGCAGCAGUGGGGAAUAUUGGACAAUGGGCGCAAGCCUGAUCCAGCCAUGCCGCGUGUGUGAAGAAGGCCUUAGGGUUGUAAAGCACUUUCAGUCGGGAGGAAGGCCUGAUGGUUAAUACCCAUUAGGAUUGACGUUACCGACAGAAGAAGCACCGGCUAACUCCGUGCCAGCGACCGCGGUAAU